UAAGCGGAGGAAAAGAAACUAACAAGGAUUCCCCUAGUAACGGCGAGCGAACAGGGAAGAGCUCAAAUUUGAAAUCUGGCGUCCUCCGGGCGUCCGAGUUGUAAUCUAUAGAGACGUUUUCCGUGCCGGACCGUGUCCAAGUUCCUUGGAACAGGAUAUCAAAGAGGGUGACAAUCCCGUACUUGACACGACGACCGGUGCUCUGUGAUACGUUUUCUACGAGUCGAGUUGUUUGGGAAUGCAGCUCAAAAUGGGUGGUGAGUUCCAUCUAAAGCUAAAUAUUGGCGAGAGACCGAUAGCGAACAAGUACCGUGAGGGAAAGAUGAAAAGCACUUUGGAAAGAGAGUUAAACAGUACGUGAAAUUGUUAAAAGGGAAACGAUUGAAGUCAGUCGUGUCUGGGAGGCUCAGCCGGUUCUGCCGGUGUAUUCCUCUCAGACGGGUCAACAUCAGUUUUGUCCGACGGAUAAUGGCGGCGGGAAAGUAGCACCUCCGGGUGUGUUAUAGCCCGCUGUCGCAUACGCCGGAUGAGACUGAGGCAUGCAGCUCGCCUUUAUGGCAGGGGUUCGCCCACUUUCGAGCUUAGGAUGUUGACGUAAUGGCUUUAAACGACCCGUCUUGAAACACGGACCAAGGAGUCUAACAUAUCUGCAGUUUUGGG
Molecule: ribosomal RNA, 660 nt
Filed under: Bullera alba
Lineage: Eukaryota; Fungi; Basidiomycota; Tremellomycetes; Tremellales; Bulleraceae
Description: LSU rRNA
Rfam family: Eukaryotic large subunit ribosomal RNA
Source: RNAcentral